RNAcentral lists this ribosomal RNA (229 nucleotides) under uncultured bacterium. Its description in RNAcentral is "partial 16S ribosomal RNA". It matches the Rfam family "Bacterial small subunit ribosomal RNA", at positions 568 to 796 of the family's 1533-position model. The record is from RNAcentral.
AGUGUAGGCGGUUACUUAAGUCGGAUGUGAAAGCCCUGGGCUCAACCUGGGAAUGGCAUUCGAUACUGGGUAACUAGAGUUUGGUAGAGGUAAGCGGAAUUCCGGGUGUAGCGGUGAAAUGCGUAGAUAUCCGGAGGAACAUCAGUGGCGAAGGCGGCUUACUGGACCAAAACUGACGCUGAGGCUCGAAAGCGUGGGGAGCAAACAGGAUUAGAUACCCUGGUAGUCC